AUACGGAGGAUGCAAGCGUUAUCCGGAUUUAUUGGGUUUAAAGGGUGCGUAGGCGGAUGAUUAAGCGUGAGGUGAAAUGCCACUGCUCAACAGUGGAACUGCCUCGCGAACUGGUUGUCUUGAAUGCUCCUGCCGUGGGAGGAAUGUGUGGUGUAGCGGGGAAAUGCAUAGAGAUCACACAGAACACCGAUUGCGAAGGCAUCUCACGAAGGGGUGAUUGACGCUGAGGCACGAAAGCGUGGGGAUCAAACAGGAUUAGAUACCCUGGUAGUCCACGCAGUAAACGAUGAUAACUAACCGCUGGGUCGUAGUGAUUCAGUGGCCAAGCGAAAGCGAUAAGUUAUCCACCUGGGGAGUACGACCGCAAGGUUGAAACUCAAAGGAAUUGACGGGG
RNAcentral lists this ribosomal RNA (394 nucleotides) under uncultured bacterium. Its description in RNAcentral is "partial 16S ribosomal RNA". It matches the Rfam family "Bacterial small subunit ribosomal RNA", at positions 523 to 918 of the family's 1533-position model. The record is from RNAcentral.